RNAcentral lists this ribosomal RNA (254 nucleotides) under uncultured bacterium. Its description in RNAcentral is "partial 16S ribosomal RNA". It matches the Rfam family "Bacterial small subunit ribosomal RNA", at positions 336 to 604 of the family's 1533-position model. The record is from RNAcentral.
CUCCUACGGGAGGCAGCAGUGGGGAAUAUUGCACAAUGGGGGGAACCCUGAUGCAGCAAUGCCGCGUGAAGGAUGAAGGUUUUCGGAUUGUAAACUUCUUUUGUACUGGACGAAGAAAGUGACUGUACCGUAAGAAUAAGCCACGGCUAACUACGUGCCAGCAGCCGCGGUAAUACUUAGGUGGCAAGCGUUCUCCGGAUUUACUGGGUGUAAAGUUCGAGUAGGCGGGAUUGCAAGUCAGAUGUGAAAACUAU